Molecule: ribosomal RNA, 501 nt
Filed under: Pachydactylus kladaroderma
Lineage: Eukaryota; Metazoa; Chordata; Lepidosauria; Squamata; Gekkonidae
Description: partial 16S ribosomal RNA
Rfam family: Bacterial large subunit ribosomal RNA
Source: RNAcentral
AUUUAACGGCCGCGGUACCAUAACCGUGCGAAGGUAGCGUAAUCACCUGUUUCUUAAAUAGAGACCAGUAUGAACGGCCCACUGAGAGUUCAACUGUCUCCUGCGGCCAAUCAAUGAAACUGAUCUUUCAGUACAAAAGCUGAAAUAUAUACACAAGACGAGAAGACCCUGUGGAACUUUAAGCCUACCACUACAAAGACAACGAGCCCAACGGCACAAACGAAACACUAUAGUAUAAACUUUAAGUUGGGGCGACUGCGGAGAAAAACAGAACCUCCAUGAAACCGGACUAACCCUCCUCCACAAGGCACACAAGCCAAACGGAAUUAUAGUACUGAUCCAGUAAUACUGACCACCGAACCAAGCUACCCCAGGGAUAACAGCGCCAUCUCCCUCAAGAGCCCAUAUCGCCAGGGAGGCUUACGACCUCGAUGUUGGAUUAGGACACCCCAGUGGUGAAGCCGCUACUAAAGGUUCGUUUGUUCAACGAUUAAUGUCAUA